CCCCCCCCCCCGCUGCCAACAGGUCAGAGGGCACGCUGAGUCCGCGCCGCCGCACUCGCCUCCGAAACCGCCGGCGCCAUGUUUGACAAGGGCACCGCCCCGCGUUCCGUGGGAGAGCAGCCCAGAGGCGAGAUCCUACCCUAAGCGUGCGUGCCUGCCCAAGGCCACGACCUGCCGGAGAGACACGUGUGGCGCCGAGAUAGCGAGCUUAACGGUCCCUUAAACGAAGAGUGAAUUAACUGAUCCGUGCUGCGAUACUUUCCCAUUCAUCGCCUGGCUCCCCCCACAGCGCUUGGGGACAGUGUCUCAUUAAGUAGCUGCCUUGGCGGGGAAUUCACUUUGUAGACCUUCAACUUGCACCAAUCCUCCAGCUUCUGCUUCCCAAGUAUGUUGAUUACACUUGGGUGCUACCAUGGACAGAGUACUGAUUCUGGAAAAAGGUGUUAACUUGCUUCCUGUACAUGAUUCAAGUGAACCAUGACCAUUGCUAACAGUGACGUUUUAUAAGUCUCCAAAAAAUGAGGAUGGGGUCCCAGGACAACGAUUCCACCUGUAUUGUUGUAAUGCCACUAAGCUGACAAACACCAUCCACAGAUUGCCUUUGGACCACAAACUGCUCAGGAUCAUUUCAAGGUGGCUAGUAGCUCACGGGCUUCUCUAGCCAGGACUUGAGGUAUGCCCUGCAGUUUCCAUCACACAGACACUGGACAACAAAUAAUAUACC
This 724-nucleotide long non-coding RNA is filed under the name Cricetulus griseus (Chinese hamster). RNAcentral's name for it is "lncRNA (ENSCGRG00015039302.1)". Lineage: Eukaryota; Metazoa; Chordata; Mammalia; Rodentia; Cricetidae. The record is from RNAcentral.